GUGUCAGCCGCCGCGGUAAUACGUAGGGUGCGAGCGUUAAUCGGAAUUACUGGGCGUAAAGCGUGCGCAGGCGGUUUUGUAAGUCAGAUGUGAAAUCCCCGGGCUCAACCUGGGAACUGCAUUUGAGACUGCAAGGCUAGAGUGUGGCAGAGGGGGGUAGAAUUCCACGUGUAGCAGUGAAAUGCGUAGAGAUGUGGAGGAAUACCGAUGGCGAAGGCAGCCCCCUGGGCCAAUACUGACGCUCAUGCACGAAAGCGUGGGGAGCAAACAGGAUUAGAUACCCCCGUAGUCC
Molecule: ribosomal RNA, 292 nt
Filed under: uncultured bacterium
Lineage: Bacteria
Description: partial 16S ribosomal RNA
Rfam family: Bacterial small subunit ribosomal RNA
Source: RNAcentral